AAGAAACGGAGCACUCCACAUGGAUUUUUUAAAUGUGUAUUGAAAAAUAGAUAUUUAAAAAAUCCCUGUGGAGUGCUCCGUUUCUU
This is a non-coding RNA of Pelobates cultripes (western spadefoot toad), 86 nucleotides long. NCBI's taxonomy places the organism in Eukaryota, Metazoa, Chordata, Amphibia, Anura, Pelobatidae. The record is from the annotation of a GenBank genome assembly.